UGCCCAGUAACUCAUAUCCCAACCUCCUCGUGGUACUGGUCUUGGUACGAGUAACCUUAGGGAAGAUCGGGUAACCAAUUCUGGUGGGAACUUUGGUCGUAUGCUGACAGGAAAGG
Molecule: ribozyme, 116 nt
Filed under: Aedes aegypti (yellow fever mosquito)
Lineage: Eukaryota; Metazoa; Arthropoda; Insecta; Diptera; Culicidae
Description: drz-agam-1 ribozyme
Rfam family: drz-agam-1 ribozyme
Source: Rfam by way of RNAcentral